Molecule: ribosomal RNA, 373 nt
Filed under: uncultured organism
Description: partial 16S ribosomal RNA
Rfam family: Bacterial small subunit ribosomal RNA
Source: RNAcentral
GGAGGGGGCUAGCGUUAUUCGGAAUCAUUGGGCGUAAAGGGCGCGUAGGCGGCCUGAUAAGUCAGGGGUGAAAUCCCUCGGCUCAACCGAGGAACUGCCCUUGAAACUGUCAGGCUCGAGGCCGGGAGAGGGUAGUGGAAUUCCGAGUGUAGCGGUGAAAUGCGUAGAUAUUCGGAGGAACACCAGUGGCGAAGGCGGCUACCUGGACCGGUUCUGACGCUGAGGCGCGAAAGCGUGGGGAGCAAACAGGAUUAGAUACCCUGGUAGUCCACGCUGUAAACGUUGAGCACUCGGUGCUGCGGGUGUCGACCCCCUGCAGUGCCUUAGGAAACCCGUUAAGUGCUCCGCCUGGGGGAGUACGGUCGCAAGGCUG